This 301-nucleotide ribosomal RNA is filed under the name uncultured bacterium. RNAcentral describes it as "partial 16S ribosomal RNA". It matches the Rfam family "Bacterial small subunit ribosomal RNA", at positions 509 to 807 of the family's 1533-position model. The record is from RNAcentral.
CAGCCGCCACGGUAAUACGGAGGGAGCUAGCGUUGUUCGGAAUUACUGGGCGUAAAGCGCACGUAGGCGGCUUUGUAAGUCAGAGGUGAAAGCCUGGAGCUCAACUCCAGAACUGCCUUUGAGACUGCAUCGCUUGAAUCCAGGAGAGGUGAGUGGAAUUCCGAGUGUAGAGGUGAAAUUCGUAGAUAUUCGGAGGAACACCAGUGGCGAAGGCGGCUCACUGGUCCAUUACUGACGCUGAGGUGCGAAAGCGUGGGGAGCAAACAGGAUUAGAUACCCGAGUAGUCCCUGUCUCUUAUAC